GGGGGCUACACAUGCAGUCGAACGGUAACAGGAAGCAGCUUGCUGCUUCGCUGACGAGUGGCGGACGGGUGAGUAAUGUCUGGGAAACUGCCUGAUGGAGGGGGAUAACUACUGGAAACGGUAGCUAAUACCGCAUAACGUCGCAAGACCAAAGAGGGGGACCUUCGGGCCUCUUGCCAUCGGAUGUGCCCAGAUGGGAUUAGCUAGUAGGUGGGGUAACGGCUCACCUAGGCGACGAUCCCUAGCUGGUCUGAGAGGAUGACCAGCCACACUGGAACUGAGACACGGUCCAGACUCCUACGGGAGGCAGCAGUGGGGAAUAUUGCACAAUGGGCGCAAGCCUGAUGCAGCCAUGCCGCGUGUAUGAAGAAGGCCUUCGGGUUGUAAAGUACUUUCAGCGGGGAGGAAGGCGAUAAGGUUAAUAACCUUGUCGAUUGACGUUACCCGCAGAAGAAGCACCGGCUAACUCCGUGCCAGCAGCCGCGGUAAUACGGAGGGUGCAAGCGUUAAUCGGAAUUACUGGGCGUAAAGCGCACGCAGGCGGUCUGUCAAGUCGGAUGUGAAAUCCCCGGGCUCAACCUGGGAACUGCAUUCGAAACUGGCAGGCUAGAGUCUUGUAGAGGGGGGUGGAAUUCCAGGUGUAGCGGUGAAAUGCGUAGAGAUCUGGAGGAAUACCGGUGGCGAAGGCGGCCCCCUGGACAAAGACUGACGCUCAGGUGCGAAAGCGUGGGGAGCAGACAGGAUUAGAUACCCUGGUAGUUCCACGCCGUAAACGAUGUCGACUUGGAGGUUGUGCCCUUGAGGCGUGGCUUCCGAGCUUACGCGUUAAGUCGACCGCCUGGGGAGUACGGCCGCCAAGGUUUAAAACUCAAAUG
Molecule: ribosomal RNA, 875 nt
Filed under: uncultured bacterium
Lineage: Bacteria
Description: bacterial SSU rRNA
Rfam family: Bacterial small subunit ribosomal RNA
Source: RNAcentral